CGAUCACGUUCCCCUGGUAACCGCUGCGGUACUCACGCGAGAUUUCCCGCGGGGGUGAGAGUUCAUCACACCGGGAGCAGCAGCGCUUCCCCUCCCGGAGAAGAGCUGCCUUCAGCGGACACCUGUCACCGUGAAACUCCGCUGCUUUUACCCACUGUGGUGUAUACAUGUAUUUACCCACUCAAAUAUUACUUCUACUUCUAAUAUACUACACUUUCCGUGAGUACACAUCCCAAUAGAAGUAGUGAAAGAAGUAUUCCCGAGCGUUUAGAUGCCACUGCUAGCAACAGCACUCUUAAAAGCAGCUGGGCCGAGCACCUGGUAUGUAUGGAGUUGGACAUAUUUAUUGAUUACUGUAGGGAGGAGUGGUCGGAGACGUCGAGGCUCCCUCGCUGCAUCCCCAGCAUAGAAAGCAAGCAACUCAAGGAAAGCGGCUGUGUCUGAUUUGAAACUCUCCAUUGAUCUGAUACCACCAAGAACUGGCCUGCAUAUUAAACCGACGCUGGGAUACAGCU
This is a long non-coding RNA of Hippoglossus stenolepis (Pacific halibut), 515 nucleotides long. RefSeq lists it as uncharacterized. NCBI's taxonomy places the organism in Eukaryota, Metazoa, Chordata, Actinopteri, Pleuronectiformes, Pleuronectidae. The transcript has 3 exons. The record is from RefSeq and is a predicted model, not a curated record.